Anneissia japonica is the source of this 611-nucleotide long non-coding RNA. RefSeq lists it as uncharacterized. The record is from RefSeq and is a predicted model, not a curated record. The transcript has 2 exons. NCBI's taxonomy places the organism in Eukaryota, Metazoa, Echinodermata, Crinoidea, Comatulida, Comatulidae.
UGCACCCAUACAGUUCAUCCCUAUCGAUAUGCCGUUGGUAGUACAGUACUGUGUUGAUAACAUUCACUAUGCACUUGGUUCUCAUUUAACCUCAUUUUGUAACUUGCAUUUUACAUUUUAUUUUUGCACUAUCUAUAUGCAAGUCAUAUGAGGCUUGCCAUUUUAAAACCAGCGUGCUGUCGCUAAUUGUUAAACUGAGUACUUAGCAUAAGAAUGUACCAGUAUUGUAUACAGAGAUGCCAUACAACUUUGGCAGUAGUCAGUCAAUUCAAGUAAGUGACCCAUCACUUUAAGCUGACAAUUUGGAGAAUAAGAAUAUCAUAUUAAAAAAUCAAUUUUCAUUUUUUGGCCACAGAUGCUGGUUUCUUCUAUGGCAAGCCUCAUAUUGUCAAUACACAUUUUCGGUUGUGAGAGUUCCAUGUGCACUAAAACAUGUUUACUUAUUACCAACAUAAAGGUAAAUACAUUAAGUCUUAAGAAUGUGUUUAACAUGUGUCCCCAGCAUUGAGGCUGGUUUUACAUGACUCAGUCCAGUGAUCUUUUUUGUUUGCCAGUACAUUUUGCUGCUCUUGUUUUAUGAAAUAAAAUAGAUGAACAUUUUCAAUCAAUAA